AUGGGUUCUUCCUCGAGCAACGCCAGGGAAGCGGCGGCGGCGGCGCCACCGCCACCACCACCUCCUCCUGCUGCGCCGCCGGCCCCCCUCCACGUGAUGGACGCGGACGAGGACGACGAGAGCGUGAAGCAGCUCAACGAGUGCGCCGCCCUCUACCUCUCCCUCCAGGACUGCCUCUCCGAGUCCGACCGCAACUGGAAGGCCUGCCAAGCACAUGUACAAGCCUUGAAAGCAUGUGAGGCGAGCAGAAACAAAAAUCAGAAAACAUGA
Molecule: ribosomal RNA, 270 nt
Filed under: Triticum aestivum (bread wheat)
Lineage: Eukaryota; Viridiplantae; Streptophyta; Magnoliopsida; Poales; Poaceae
Description: partial small subunit ribosomal RNA
Source: RNAcentral